ACACAGUGCAUAAUAUAGUGUGCUGUACAAACUGAUGUAUCUCAACCAACCAUAAGAUAGUCCAUUAUAAAACUGAAAUUUUAGAAGAAAAAAAAUAAAAAAUUGAACUCUGGUUUAGUCAGUUGUCAUAUAGGGAAAUAUGCAAGUGACAAACUGUCAUACAUCAGGAAAAUGAACAAAAAUACCUCUAAGAAAUGUGGUUUUGGGAGAUUAGCCUACUUUAGAAUGUAAAAAUGUCACUUGACAAAUAGGUCAGUUUGUAAAAUUAAACCAGGCACUAUAUUAUACACAAACCAGGACCGACUACUUGCUCAUUAACACAAUAUGGCCUGCUAGGCACCUACCCAUUAAUAGGAAUUUAAGUUCCCACAGGGAGUUAUGGACUGCAAGCUGUGAAGUUCAUACUAUUGUGUUCCUAUAUGGAAAAGAUUUAAAAUAAAACAAAAAAAAACAUAUCUGUAAUGUUAUGCACGCUGUUAUACUUCAUUUAAAUGCCUCAUAUGGCAUAGGAACAAAAUACCAGGUCCUAUGAGAAAUAUAGUUAGCGGUUAGAUUAAACCCUACCUAUAAAAGGUCUAAAAAAUAAAAUAAAAAUCUGAACGCCCAAUUCUCAUUAACUGUACAUAUUGUUCCCUCAUAUCCAUAUAUGUAAGUCUGCUUUGCCAUCUGAUUAUUUUGGCCUGAAAGUUUACGGUUAUUCAUUUAAAUAAGAAUUGCCUGAUAUAAUAAGUAAACUAAUAGCUCACAUAUUGAACUUUGAUUCCACUUUAACUAUGCAUAUAUAGGGCUGCCUGUAUCCACCUGUGGAGAACUUAAUCCUUAUAGGCUGCAUAUAUGACCAGGUUGCAUACACAUUAGCUGGCAUUUAACAAUUUUGUUAAUCUGACCACACUUAUUGCUUUUUUGCAUAGUGUUGUGUCCAGGCCAGCUGACGCUCCCUUGGGAGACCAAAUGAAAGUUACGCAACAAAAAGAAUGUUCUGUAUCAGAGGAUGGCUGGUGAGGGAAGCAAGACAAUGGACUUCUAAUUACAAGUACACAGGAGAUUUGAUUGGCAGCCUCAGCACCAUUCCUGCAUGGAUUGAAUACAAAAAACGGAAGGUGUGCUGGGUGGUCAAUUGACAGUACUGUGCAGCAAAGUAGUUGGGACCAGGAUUGCAUGGAUUAAACUGCAUCCAUUUUACAUGAGUUGUGGGCACAGCAGGGAGUUAUUUUGGUGGUAAGUUUUCUUGUCCCCAAGGCCAGAAGUUGCAAGCACCCCCAACCUUGUACUGCCUUUCUCAUCCCAGUUUGUUGGGAAGACUGCACAGGGUAACAAACACCCACUAGGAAACAACACCACCCUUUCAUGAAAUAUAUGGUUUAAAAUUAAAUGUAAUUAACAGAUUUAUCCAGUGUGAGAAAACCCAAACAUGCAGUAGAACAUCAAAGUAAUGAUUUUUCCCCAAUUCUGCCAUUUCAUCUAAAACGUCAACAUGAU
This is a non-coding RNA of Pelobates cultripes (western spadefoot toad), 1479 nucleotides long. Lineage: Eukaryota; Metazoa; Chordata; Amphibia; Anura; Pelobatidae. The record is from the annotation of a GenBank genome assembly.